GGCCUUCCUCUGCAGGGCGAUAGAUCAUGGGGCUCCAAGAUCAAUGGCUCCGCAGAGGGAGGCC
This 64-nucleotide microRNA precursor is filed under the name Myotis davidii. RNAcentral's name for it is "mir-9242 microRNA precursor family". It matches the Rfam family "mir-9242 microRNA precursor family". Lineage: Eukaryota; Metazoa; Chordata; Mammalia; Chiroptera; Vespertilionidae. The record is from Rfam by way of RNAcentral.